This is a non-coding RNA of Pelobates cultripes (western spadefoot toad), 607 nucleotides long. The record is from the annotation of a GenBank genome assembly. NCBI's taxonomy places the organism in Eukaryota, Metazoa, Chordata, Amphibia, Anura, Pelobatidae.
CCUGUAACCACUGGGGCCGCAAUAUCGGACUGAUUUAGCCCCUGGUGAUGCUCUGGUUGCCCCUGGUGAUGCUGUAGUUGCCCCUGGUGAUGCUGUAGUUGCCCCUGGUGAUGCUCUGGUUGCCCCUGGUGAUGCUGUGGUUGCCCCUGGUGAUGCUGUGGUUGCCCCUGGUGAUGUUCUGGUUGCCCCUGGUGAUGCUCUGGUUGCCCCUGGUGAUGCUGUGGUUGUCCCUGGUGUUGCUCUGGUUGCCCCUGGUGAUGUUCUGGUUGCCCCUGGUGAUGCUGUGGUUGCCCCUGGUGAUGCUGUAGUUGCCCCUGGUGAUGUUCUGGUUGACCCUGGUGAUGCUCUGGUUGCCCCUGGUGAUGCUGUGGUUGCCCCUGGUGAUGUUCUGGUUGCCCCUGGUGAUGCUCUGGUUGCCCCUGGUGAUGCUGUGGUUGCCCCUGGUGAUGCUCUGGUUGCCCCUGGUGAUGCUGUAGUUGCCCCUGGUGAUGCUGUGGUUGCCCCUGGUGAUGCUGUGGUUGCCCCUGGUGAUGCUCUGGUUGCCCCUGGUGAUGCUGUGGUUGCCCCUGGUGAUGUUCUGGUUGCCCCUGGUGAUGCUCUAGUUGCC